Molecule: ribosomal RNA, 408 nt
Filed under: Fusobacteriota bacterium
Lineage: Bacteria; Fusobacteriati; Fusobacteriota
Description: Fusobacteria bacterium partial 16S ribosomal RNA
Rfam family: Bacterial small subunit ribosomal RNA
Source: RNAcentral
UGGGGAAUAUUGCACAAUGGACGGAAGUCUGAUGCAGCAACGCCGCGUGCGGGAUGACGGCCUUCGGGUUGUAAACCGCUUUUUCUCAUGACGAAGUUUUUUGACGGUAGUGGGGGAAGAAGCACCGGCUAACUACGUGCCAGCAGCCGCGGUGAUACGUAGGGUGCGAGCGUUGUUCGGAAUUAUUGGGCGUAAAGAGCUUGUAGGCGGUUUGUCGCGUCGAUAGUGCAAACUCAGUGCUUAACGCUGAGCCUGCUGUUGAUACGGGCAGACUAGAGGAAGGUAGGGGAGAAUGGAAUUCCCGGUGGAGCGGUGGAAUGCGCAGAUAUCGGGAGGAACACCGGUGGCGAAGGCGGUUCUCUGGGCCUUUCCUGACGCUGAGAAGCGAAAGCGUGGGGAGCGAACAGG